RNAcentral lists this ribosomal RNA (200 nucleotides) under uncultured bacterium. Its description in RNAcentral is "partial 16S ribosomal RNA". It matches the Rfam family "Bacterial small subunit ribosomal RNA", at positions 29 to 230 of the family's 1533-position model. The record is from RNAcentral.
AGCGAACGCUGGCGGCAGGCCUAACACAUGCAAGUCGAACGGCAGCACGGGAGCAAUCCUGGUGGCGAGUGGCGAACGGGUGAGUAAUACAUCGGAACGUGCCCAAUCGUGGGGGAUAACGCAGCGAAAGCUGUGCUAAUACCGCAUAAGAUCUACGGAUGAAAGCAGGGGAUCGCAAGACCUUGCGCGAAUGGAGCGGC